This 1404-nucleotide ribosomal RNA is filed under the name uncultured bacterium. RNAcentral describes it as "partial 16S ribosomal RNA". It matches the Rfam family "Bacterial small subunit ribosomal RNA". The record is from RNAcentral.
AGAGUUUGAUCCUGGCUCAGGAUGAACGCUAGCGGCAGGCUUAACACAUGCAAGUCGAGGGGCAGCGGGGAGGAAGCUUGCUUUCUCCGCCGGCGACCGGCGCACGGGUGAGUAACACGUAUGCAACCUGCCCCUGUCAGGGGGACAACCCGCCGAAAGGCGGGCUAAACCCGCGUACAUGCCACCGGGGCAUCCCGGAGGCAGGAAAGGCUUCGGCCGGACAGGGAUGGGCAUGCGGCGCAUUAGGCAGUAGGCGGGGUAACGGCCCACCUAACCGACGAUGCGUAGGGGUUCUGAGAGGAAGGUCCCCCACACUGGUACUGAGACACGGACCAGACUCCUACGGGAGGCAGCAGUGAGGAAUAUUGGUCAAUGGUCGGGAGACUGAACCAGCCAAGCCGCGUGAGGGAUGAAGGUACAGAGUAUCGUAAACCUCUUUUGUCAGGGAACAAAGGCGGGGACGCGUCCCCGGAUGAGUGUACCUGAAGAAAAAGCAUCGGCUAACUCCGUGCCAGCAGCCGCGGUAAUACGGAGGAUGCGAGCGUUAUCCGGAUUUAUUGGGUUUAAAGGGUGCGCAGGCGGUCUGUUAAGUCAGCGGUCAAAGCCCGGGGCUCAACCCCGGCCCGCCGUUGAAACUGGCAGUCUCGAGUUGGAGAGAAGUAUGCGGAAUGCGCGGUGUAGCGGUGAAAUGCAUAGAUAUCGCGCAGAACUCCGAUUGCGAAGGCAGCAUGCCGGCUCCACACUGACGCUGAGGCACGAAAGCGUGGGUAUCGAACAGGAUUAGAUACCCUGGUAGUCCACGCAGUAAACGAUGAAUGCUGGCUGUCCGGGGGGACUGACCCCUGGGUGGCGAAGCGAAAGCGAUAAGCAUUCCACCUGGGGAGUACGCCGGCAACGGUGAAACUCAAAGGAAUUGACGGGGGCCCGCACAAGCGGAGGAACAUGUGGUUUAAUUCGAUGAUACGCGAGGAACCUUACCCGGGCUCAAACGGGGAGUGACUCAGGCAGAGACGCCUGUUUCCCACGGGACACUCCCCGAGGUGCUGCAUGGUUGUCGUCAGCUCGUGCCGUGAGGUGUCGGCUUAAGUGCCAUAACGAGCGCAACCCCCGCGUGCAGUUGCUAACAGAUAACGCUGAGGACUCUGCACGGACUGCCGGCGCAAGCCGCGAGGAAGGCGGGGAGGACGUCAAAUCAGCACGGCCCUUACGUCCGGGGCGACACACGUGUUACAAUGGGUGGUACAGCGGGAAGCCAGGCGGCGACGCCGAGCGGAACCCGAAAUCCACUCUCAGUUCGGAUCGGAGUCUGCAACCCGACUCCGUGAAGCUGGAUUCGCUAGUAAUCGCGCAUCAGCCAUGGCGCGGUGAAUACGUUCCCGGGCCUUGCACUCACCGCCCGUCAAG